This is a non-coding RNA of Misgurnus anguillicaudatus (oriental weatherfish), 982 nucleotides long. The record is from RefSeq and is a predicted model, not a curated record. Lineage: Eukaryota; Metazoa; Chordata; Actinopteri; Cypriniformes; Cobitidae.
CGAGAGUGAAUAAGUGAAGAACAGACUGUGAAUGUGAUACCUACCCAGAAAGCUGUAUGCAGCAGAGCCGGUGAGAAACACUCGAAGUCUCAGUAACAGUGUCUUUGUGUCCUAGCGGCCACCUGUGGAGAGAGAGAAGAACGAGAGCGAAUAAGUGAAGAACAGACUGUGAAUGUGAUACCUACCCAGAAAGCUGUAUGCAGCAGAGCCGGUGAGAAAUACUCGAAGUCUCAGUAACAGUGUCUUUGUGUCCUAGCGGCCACCUGUGGAGAGAGAGAAGAACGAGAGCGAAUAAGUGAAGAACAGACUGUGAAUGUGAUACCUACCCAGAAAGCUGUAUGCAGCAGAGCCGGUGAGAAAUACUCGAAGUCUCAGUAACAGUGUCUUUGUGUCCUAGCGGCCACCUGUGGAGAGAGAGAAGAACGAGAGCGAAUAAGUGAAGAACAGACUGUGAAUGUGAUACCUACCCAGGAAGCUGUAUGCAGCAGAGCCGUGGCCGCCUGAGGAGAGAAAGGAGGACGAGAGUGAACAAUCGGAGGACAGACGGUGUAACACGCUACCUACCCCGAGAGCUGUAAGCGGCAGAACCGGUGAGAAGCAUACCAAAUCCACACUAACCGUGUUUCUGUGCCGCAGUAAACACCUGCGGGAGACGUGAAGGCACGUGGGGCGAGGACCCCCUGCCGGACCGAGGAAGGGCUCACGGACAGUGGAAAAUCUCCUACCAGUCACACCUAAAUUGUUCUGCCUCCGGGAAAGAAGAAGGAGGGCGCCACGGUUAACAGGGUCCAGGCCGGAGCCUGACGAUUCCCUCUUUCUCCCGGCUUUGGUGGUUGACACCCCUGUUGCCCUUGCCCCUGUCUGCCCGGGCUGCAGUCUCCCUGGAGGGAGGAGAAGAAGCCUAUUAGUUUUAAAUUCCCCUUUCCCCAAUUCCCCAGUUCUUUUAAAUAUUUAAAUUCAAUAAAGCUUGUUUUAAAUUUUA